AUUGAACGCUGGCGGCAGGCCUAACACAUGCAAGUCGAGCGGAUGAAGGGAGCUUGCUCCUGGAUUCAGCGGAGGACGGGUGAGUAAUGCCUAGGAAUCUGCCUGGUAGUGGGGGAUAACGUCCGGAAACGGGCGCUAAUACCGCAUACGUCCUGAGGGAGAAAGUGGGGGAUCUUCGGACCUCACGCUAUCAGAUGAGCCUAGGUCGGAUUAGCUAGUUGGUGGGGUAAAGGCCUACCAAGGCGACGAUCCGUAACUGGUCUGAGAGGAUGAUCAGUCACACUGGAACUGAGACACGGUCCAGACUCCUACGGGAGGCAACAGUGGGGAAUAUUGCACAAUGGGCGAAAGCCUGAUCCAGCCAUGCGGCGUGUGUGAAGAAGGUCUUCGGAUUGUAAAGCACUUUAAGUUGGGAGGAAGGGCAGUAAGUUAAUACCUUGCUGUUUUGACGUUACCAACAGAAUAAGCACCGGCUAACUUCGUG
RNAcentral lists this ribosomal RNA (484 nucleotides) under uncultured bacterium. RNAcentral describes it as "partial 16S ribosomal RNA". It matches the Rfam family "Bacterial small subunit ribosomal RNA", at positions 30 to 507 of the family's 1533-position model. The record is from RNAcentral.